UACAACGGGACGGGGCAAACGAGCGAAAGCUGAAAUGACCUCUCGACAGGCAGCUUGAACCAACCCUCACUGAGUUCAGUCAGGCUUUACUCCCAAGUAAGGGAGCUUUAGCUGCACAAAUCUUUCCACACCAUGGAGUGGGGAAUGGGUGCAGAGAGAAGGGAGACCAGUUGCAAGCAGCAAACCUAACUAUAAAUACCAGCGCAUAAAUAUUUUGAGGAGCAAACGCACACGCACCAACUAACUGGCAGGAAUGCAGUGAGGUCUGCUUGCCAAAAGUCCCCUUUAAAAAAGGAGGACGCGGAAGCGAGAGGAGAGAAACCGAAAUUUCCCGCAAUAGUUGGAGGCAGCUGGCCGGCGCCUGGAAGCCCACUGCCAAGACUGGAAUCCUGAAGAAGUUUCGAUACCCGCGAAAAAGUCCCAUUAGGUGAAGGACCUCGACGGAACUACUCGAGGAGCGCUGCAGACGCAAAGCGACCGGUCCCACCGUGUUGGAUUUGACUCUCUCUGGCUCGGCGAGCGCUUACAAGCGAGCCCUCCCCGCCGAGCAGACUUUGAUUUUGAAGGAGCCCAGCGGCAAUCCUUGCGCACGCGAUCAGAUUUCAGACCAGGUUUGCAGCUGCAGGAAGAAUCCUCGCGGCGCCCCUUUUGUUUAAACAGCCCUCAGCCUUCCUCCCAAAGAGACUCUUCAGACAGCCUCAGCAAACCACGGCCGGCCCUUCGGUUGCGCAGCCACAAGAAGCGCCUGCAAAAAGGUUUAUUUUCCUUUGGUCAUCAUCACUGUAAUGUUGAACAUUUUUUUGGAAAAAGAAAGAAUGCCACUCCAAACAACAUUAUGGGUGCAUCUCAAUGUCAUCCAUGCAGCUUGUUCAGAGGCAAAACUUUGAUAUGGUCUGACUGCAUUCUAGAUUCCAGUUUGAUCCAGCUUAUAGAACCAACCUUGGAUGAUGAGGACUAAAUAUGCAGCAGAAGGUUAAACAAGGAGAGGUUGAAAAGAGUCAUGUUUCUAAAGCAGAAACUUAACACUGAAAACGUCUUGUACUCCCUAAGGACUGCUUAGGGGGAGAGAAAUCUGCAGUUACCUGGGAAAACAAAAAGGGACUUCGAGCUUGGGCAUGCACUUGGGCAUACAGGCCCCCUACUUACACAUCCUACAUGGCUUCAGCUACAUAAGCUUAUUCAACUCAGUGGGACAGGGCAGCAAAUCAUACCCCUUUUGAAUACUACUGCUAAAUGUCUGACAUGAUUGGCUUUAUUAUUCUGAGCAUGGAUUCCAGGAAUGCUGAAAGGAGAACAAAAUAAAAUUGCGAGGGGGAGAAUGGAGUUUACAGAGUAGAUGGCCUUUGUGGGAGUCUAUAAACUUCACGCAGCUGGAGAUUGGUUUAAUACUUCCACUGCCUCCCAGGAUUAUGAUGGAAGGCAGAUAGAUCACUCCGUCAUUCGCAUAGUGAUGACAUAGUGCUCCAGAUCUCCAAUAGAUCUCUUCCAGCAACUUCAUGUAGAUGUUACAAAUUAUUGAUGACAACUUUACAGUACCUUUGUAUCAUGAAGAAAUCAAACUACUACAAUGUUGAUUUUUCCAGAUUCAGUAUAGCUAGGCUAGUUUCUUCAGGAGGGGGGUUGACUGUAGCCUCUUUUAACAUUGCAGAUGUAAUAUCUUCCUGCAGUGAAUAAUUAAUAAUUAACACCAUCCAGUUUGGCAGCUCUUCUGUGGUAAAUUACACUAGCCAUGAACUAGUGAACUACAUUAGACUGGUGGGAAGCUUCAGUUUUUCAGUUAUCUUAUUCAUGUCCUCAAGUUUAAUUAAUUGAAAAGUGUCCUUUUGAACUAGAGAACUUAAAAUCUUGGUUAGUGCAGAAUCAAAAUUGGAUCAGAUGCCAACAAUUUUAUCCACAAAACACAUAGUAAAAUGGUCACAAUUAACUGUAGAAGGUUCCACUAUCUGAUCCUGGGGCAAGCCCCAGCUCAAGAGAGAAGGUGCUCAGGAAGAAUCACAUAAACUGCAUGAUGGGCAUCCCAGAUUCAGAGGCCCACUAGCUUUCCCACACAAUUGCUAGUCAUAGCAGCAGGAAAAUAUACCAUAGCAGUCAAGAAACCAUUUGGAUGUAUCUUGCUCCAAGGGGAAGCUCUGCUAAUUUAAACCAAGUCUUAACCCUUGAACAGUUUUAAAUGUUCAUCAGGGAAGACUAUGGUGAGUGAAGAGGAGGAGCUAAAGGUUCCUGAGGAGAUUUUUAAAAUGUCAAAUUUUGUGCAAAUGGCAAACAUAGACCCUUAGACAACCUUCCUUGGCCUUGUUAAUCUCCCUUCUUUUAUUGGUUGAGGCAUCCUCCCCUUUUCCACCUGCAGGACCUCCCAAUUCCUUGCCUUCCCGCCCACCCUUUCAAAGACUGCGCUGAAGUCAGAUGUGAACAGGCAGACUGGGGGACUCCUGUACUGACCAAACUCUUCUCAUUCAUUGACCAGCACAGAAUAAUGCCAGACUUGGGGUAUCUUCAGUUAUCAUACCAGUUUAUAAGAAGGGGCCGCCAGAUUGUCCAGAAAAUUAUAGACCCAUCAGUCUUUUGUUCAUCCUGGGGAAAUUAUAUGCCAAACAUUUUGAAAAGAAGCUAAUGGAAUGGAUUGUGGAAAAUAAUGUCAUUGGCCCGGAACAAGCAGGCUUCAGAUUGGAAAAAUCAACAGUUGAUCACUGUACAACCCUUUCCUUUUUAAUAAAUAGAUAAAUAAAUAAAUAGAUAGAUAGAUAGAUAGAUAGAUAGAUAGAUAGAUAGAUAGAUAGAUAGAUAGAUAGAUAGAUAGAUAGAUAGAUAGAUAGAUUGAUAAUAAUGAACUGAAGACGUUGUAUAUUGCAGUGCAGUGCUUUUGAUAUAGUUUCUAGAAAUAUUCUCUGAUCUAGGUUACUCCAGGUGCAAAUAGAUCCAUGAUUACUUAUGUUAAUACAGAAGCUAGAUGGUACAAUGUCUUGCCAAGUAAAAUAUGACCAACAUGGUUCCUUAACACACAAGAUAUCAACAUACCAAGGUGUUAAAUAGGGUUGUGUGCUGGCAAUUCACUUAUUUAAUCUGCACAUCAAUGAUCUGAAGGUCCAUCUCUGCAAGGUCAAUGGUCAUCCCCCUAAAUUAGGCAGUUGUACCAUUCUACUCCUGCUGUAUGCUGACAAUACCACUAUUCUUUCUCGUACUAGAAUAAAUCUCAAAAUAGAGGCUCUUGCUAAUUACUGCCAUUUAAUGUACUGAGAAUGAACUAUUCAAAAUAAAAAAUGGUUGUAUUUGCUAAGCAUUGGCACCUGCUUCCUUGGAAAAUUAAGACCUUUAAAUAUCUAGGGCUCAGUUUCCAAUAUAACCAUAGAUGGACUUUUCAUUGAUUUUGUAUAAACUUGUCUGGCAAGUAUACAUCCACAGGGGUAGCCCAAUUUUAUUACAGGAAGGCCAAUUUUAAAAGGUCUUCCAAGCUAAGGUAGUACUGAAGACCCUCUCUGGAAUUCCCAUAUGAAUAAAGGCAUUUAACAAUUACAUUGAGCAAAUACAAGCCCUGUUCUUAAGGAGAAUAUUGGGAGUACCUAACACUGUCCCCUCUUCUACUCUCCGCCUUGAAGCUUGAUUGUCACUAAUUGAAACCUAAGUAUGACUUGUAAUGAUAAAAUAUUGGCUCAAAAUGCACUAUAGACCAUUGACGGGAGAUCUAAUUUCUCAUCUUCUCCCUGACAAUUAUGUUUCACAAUGGUCUAAAACAAUUACCUCUGAUCAAGAAUGUCAGAAUAUCCCUUGAAUCCUUACAACAAUCUGAAUAAAGUUUUAUUUUGAGACAAAUCCAAGACAGACCCGUUAACCAUGGAUAGCAGUUAUUCUAUUCAGUUAAGGAGCAAUAUGUUACCCCCAUGUCUUUGGAAUUCAACCCAACUGCAGGGUUAAUGUUAAUUAUCUUAUAAAUGUGACAACUAUCAAGCAAUGAAGGGCUUUCAUGCUAGCACCAUUUAAUAGUCUUCCAUCAACCACUACAACUAACCACCUAGUAGUAGAUUUAGCCCCAGCACUUCCCUGUUUAGAAAUUAAACACCCGAGCAUAACGAAAGAAGUUUAGACCCAAAAGCUAUUUGGUCAGUCAUAAGAACAUAUUGCCUUUCUCUACCUGUUUCUUUCACAUCUAUGACAGCAGUGCCUUGUAUGAUACUAGCUCCUCUAUAUCCUCCCCUGACAAAUUUACAAUUUCUCUGUGUUAAUCAGGGCUGCUAAUGGGAACUAAAUGUUAGAGGCUCAUGGAACCAGGCCAAGGAAUUAAUGUAAUUUGAGUUGGGUUUGUAUGGUUGAGGGGCAGGGGGAUCUUUGUCCGGUGAUGGCUCUUGGCAGCCUUGGUAUUAAUGAGAGUUGGUGGUUUCCCCAAGGAUGUAAGGCGAAGCCCUGGAUCUUAGUUGCUUGUAGAUGAUACUGCCUCAGAAUAGAAACAAAAGAGAGAGGAGAAUGCCAAGACACUUGUGUCCAUAGGAUUAUAAAAAGUUCAACACUCAGUUAGUGCUGCUCUCCAUUUUGCUUGCUUUGCAGGCGGGCAGAACAAAACUAACUGCAGGAAGUUAUAAAAAGAAGAUAUAAAAUUUGCCCAUUAAUUUGUUUUGAAUAAUUUGGGAUGUAAAUUUAUUUUCCUUUGUAAAUCUGUGCUGCAAACACUGGACUUUUUUAACAUGCUCCACUUGGUCCUGAUUUUCUUGGCAGUUGAUCUGUAGGCAUUAGAACUGUUUGGGAGCAGUUCUCCUAAAUGUCUGCCCUCUUCUGUAUUUUCACUGUUGUGGAGUCAGUUUAUUUUCUUCCACACAUGCCUUCAACAACAAUGAUUUUUGUGGGAGGGUACUGUUGUCAUUGGUGGUAUCACUGGCAGCAUUACAGCAGCACUCCCUCUUUUUUAAUUAAAAAAUGGCACUGAAAUAUUGAUAUACAGUGCUGGAGCACUGUAUCAAUAGGUUUAGCAGAUUCCUGAGUUACCAGUUUUCAUUUAAAUAAAAAAUCUCCAGUCUCUUUUUCCUUAUAUUUCCAUUAUGGAAGGGACUAGAGAUUUAUUUUUAGUGCUGUUAGAAAAGAAAUCACUUGUCUUCUGGGUGAGGGUAGAAGUUGAGGGAGUGGUUUCAUCACAAAAGUGGGCUGGAGGUGGAGGGGAUUGGGUGGGACAAAGAAAGCCAACAGAAACCUUACAUAUGAAGAAAAAGCUGACUCAGAAUCAGCUUUGAUCAGGGUAACCCCCCCCCCCCGGUUUCCCCCCCCCAGUUUUGUUUUGUGGGAGGUGGGGAGAAAACCCCCCAAAUAAAAACUAAAGGCAUAAAAAUCCAU
Sphaerodactylus townsendi is the source of this 5313-nucleotide long non-coding RNA. RefSeq lists it as uncharacterized. The transcript is spliced from 9 exons. The record is from RefSeq and is a predicted model, not a curated record. Lineage: Eukaryota; Metazoa; Chordata; Lepidosauria; Squamata; Sphaerodactylidae.